GCUCGAGCGGCGAACGGGUGAGUAACACGUGAGUAACCUGCCCUUGACUUUGGGAUAACUUCAGGAAACUGGGGCUAAUACCGGAUAGGAGCUCCUGCUGCAUGGUGGGGGUUGGAAAGUUUCGGCGGUUGGGGAUGGACUCGCGGCUUAUCAGCUUGUUGGUGGGGUAGUGGCUUACCAAGGCUUUGACGGGUAGCCGGCCUGAGAGGGUGACCGGCCACAUUGGGACUGAGAUACGGCCCAG
RNAcentral lists this ribosomal RNA (244 nucleotides) under uncultured Actinomycetales bacterium. RNAcentral describes it as "partial 16S ribosomal RNA". It matches the Rfam family "Bacterial small subunit ribosomal RNA", at positions 89 to 334 of the family's 1533-position model. The record is from RNAcentral. Lineage: Bacteria; Bacillati; Actinomycetota; Actinomycetes; Actinomycetales.